UGUCUGAAAUAUAGGAAGUUACUGGAAGCUGGAAUUUGGAGAGUCUACAGGAUCUGAAGAGAUGGUGCUAUUUUAUUCAGCUAAUACCUACUUCUAUAAUGCUGUCAUCAGAAUCAUUUCAAGUGCCUUAUAUGCUGUCAUUUAAGCUACAAAAUACCUCAGUGGAGUAACCAGAUGUAGACCAACUACUAGCUCCCCUCCCAGGCGACCCUAUGUGAUAUCAGUCUCCUGGGGGUAACAGACACAGAAAGGAAGGAGAUGCUUCAAGCAUCUGGGUAUAGACCUGGUCCUUAUGCUGCUAUGCUGUGUACAACAACGCUAUCAGAAUUAAU
Long non-coding RNA from Mauremys reevesii (Reeves's turtle), 332 nucleotides. RefSeq lists it as uncharacterized. Lineage: Eukaryota; Metazoa; Chordata; Testudines; Geoemydidae. The transcript has 3 exons. The record is from RefSeq and is a predicted model, not a curated record.